UCUCAGCAGAUUUAAUCCCCGA
This 22-nucleotide microRNA is filed under the name Picea abies (Norway spruce). RNAcentral describes it as "pab-miR11523a". The record is from miRBase by way of RNAcentral. Lineage: Eukaryota; Viridiplantae; Streptophyta; Pinopsida; Pinales; Pinaceae.